UACGGAGGGUGCAAGCGUUAAUCGGAAUUACUGGGCGUAAAGCGCACGUAGGCGGUUCGAUAAGUCGGGUGUGAAAGCCCCGGGCUUAACCUGGGAAUUGCAUUCGAUACUGUCGAGCUAGAGUGUGGAAGAGGGAAGUGGAAUUCCAGGUGUAGCGGUGAAAUGCGUAGAUAUCUGGAGGAGCAUCAGUGGCGAAGGCGACUUCCUGGUCCAACACUGACGCUGAGGUGCGAAAGCGUGGGGAGCAAACAGG
This 253-nucleotide ribosomal RNA is filed under the name uncultured bacterium. RNAcentral's name for it is "partial 16S ribosomal RNA". It matches the Rfam family "Bacterial small subunit ribosomal RNA", at positions 524 to 776 of the family's 1533-position model. The record is from RNAcentral.